CAAAUUUGGCACAAAGUUCUUCUAAUAAGAGGCCAUAAAAUAACCAAAUGAUUUUUUAUGUGCCUAUAGAACCAAAAGAACUAUUUCAGAAUGUCAGCUGAAAAGCACGAUAUUCCAGAUAGCUUAGAAACCUUGGCAUAGUGCCUUCCUGGAAAUCCUGGAUUGCAUCUAAAACCAUGUGGCAGAGGGAGAAACAACAGACAGGACAUCCUGAGAAGACUCAGGCUGGGACGAAAGCUCUGCUCUCCAGGGACAAAGCAGCAGGGGACCAGCCAUGCUCAGAAAUACUCCACUGGCCAGUGCACAUUUUUUUGAGCAAUUUCACUUGCUUCCUCACCACCUGUCCCCCUAACACUUCUAUUAAAGUGGCAAAUAAAUCUGA
This 382-nucleotide long non-coding RNA is filed under the name Homo sapiens (human). RNAcentral's name for it is "non-protein coding TBX18-AS1:17". Lineage: Eukaryota; Metazoa; Chordata; Mammalia; Primates; Hominidae. The record is from RNAcentral.